GGGGAUGUAGCUCAGUUGGGAGAGCGCCACGUUCGCAACGUGGAAGUCGGGGGUUCAAAUCCCCCCAUCUCCACCA
RNAcentral lists this transfer RNA (76 nucleotides) under Thermodesulfobacteriota bacterium. RNAcentral's name for it is "tRNA-Ala". It matches the Rfam family "tRNA". From Rfam's summary of the family: Transfer RNA (tRNA) molecules are approximately 80 nucleotides in length. Their secondary structure includes four short double-helical elements and three loops (D, anti-codon, and T loops). Further hydrogen bonds mediate the characteristic L-shaped molecular structure. tRNAs have two regions of fundamental functional importance: the anti-codon, which is responsible for specific mRNA codon recognition, and the 3' end, to which the tRNAs corresponding amino acid is attached (by aminoacyl-tRNA synthetases). tRNAs cope with the degeneracy of the genetic code in two manners: having more than one tRNA (with a specific anti-codon) for a particular amino acid; and 'wobble' base-pairing, i.e. permitting non-standard base-pairing at the 3rd anti-codon position. The record is from RNAcentral. Lineage: Bacteria; Pseudomonadati; Thermodesulfobacteriota.